Mycena rebaudengoi is the source of this 85-nucleotide non-coding RNA. NCBI's taxonomy places the organism in Eukaryota, Fungi, Basidiomycota, Agaricomycetes, Agaricales, Mycenaceae. The record is from the annotation of a GenBank genome assembly.
ACCUCUGUGGUCUAAUGGUACGACGUCAGAAGUCAAGUUGCAUUUUGCAAUCUGGAGAUCGCGGGUUCGACUCUCGCCAGGGGUA